RNAcentral lists this transfer RNA (83 nucleotides) under Ligilactobacillus equi DPC 6820. RNAcentral's name for it is "Lactobacillus equi DPC 6820 tRNA". It matches the Rfam family "tRNA". Rfam says of the family: Transfer RNA (tRNA) molecules are approximately 80 nucleotides in length. Lineage: Bacteria; Bacillati; Bacillota; Bacilli; Lactobacillales; Lactobacillaceae. The record is from Rfam by way of RNAcentral.
GCCGUCUUAGUUUAAAGCAAAAUUCAAGUUCUUAGCUGUGGGAGUUUAAGCUUGAGAUACAGGUUCAAAUCCUGUAGACGGUG